GUGGGGAAUAUUGGACAAUGGGCGAAAGCCUGAUCCAGCCAUGCCGCGUGUGUGAAGAAGGUCUUCGGAUUGUAAAGCACUUUAAGUUGGGAGGAAGGGCAGUAAGUUAAUACCUUGCUGUUUUGACGUUACCGACAGAAUAAGCACCGGCUAACUUCGUGCCAGCAGCCGCGGUAAUACGAAGGGUGCAAGCGUUAAUCGGAAUUACUGGGCGUAAAGCGCGCGUAGGUGGUUUUGUAAGUUGGAGGUGAAAUCCCCGGGCUCAACCUGGGAACUGCCUCCAAAACUGCAUGACUAGAGUUCGGUAGAGGGUAGUGGAAUUUCCUGUGUAGCGGUGAAAUGCGUAGAUAUAGGAAGGAACACCAGUGGCGAAGGCGACUACCUGGACUGAUACUGACACUGAGGUGCGAAAGCGUGGGGAGCAAACAGGAUUAGAUACCCGGGUAGUCC
Molecule: ribosomal RNA, 450 nt
Filed under: uncultured bacterium
Lineage: Bacteria
Description: bacterial SSU rRNA
Rfam family: Bacterial small subunit ribosomal RNA
Source: RNAcentral